Long non-coding RNA from Mus musculus (house mouse), 436 nucleotides. RefSeq annotates it as predicted gene, 32783. The transcript is spliced from 3 exons. The record is from RefSeq and is a predicted model, not a curated record. NCBI's taxonomy places the organism in Eukaryota, Metazoa, Chordata, Mammalia, Rodentia, Muridae.
UUGCAGAUGGGAGACUCUCUGCUUGUCUGCAAUCAGCUCCAUGAGGGAUAUGUCUGAAAGGUGUGAUGACCGUGGGAUGAAAGUUUCCUUCUGUAGUCCAAAAGCACCAGUGGGCUCCUAGGCAUUCUGCUGAUUGCAAGGAACAGAGAAGGCCAUGAUAGGAGCAAACAGGAAAACAUGCACAGAUCUCCUAAGGAGGCUUCUGGGCACGUGUUUUUGCUUACUGCCUAAUGUGGUUCUAAUAACACAAACAUUCCAGCGAAGCAAUGACGACACAGCGAGAGCUACAGAUAUUAGAGGCCCACGCAAUGGAAGCGUUUGGGGGAAAGAACAGCGAAUGCGUCUCUGACAUUUUCUUGUUACUGUCUUGGUAUGACUCCUCCUGGCCUGCAUUAACAGAAGAAGAAACACAGACCGAGCAAAAGUGAACGAGAGG